AACGAACGCUGGCGGCAUGCCUAACACAUGCAAGUCGAACGAUGCCUUCGGGCAUAGUGGCGCACGGGUGCGUAACGCGUGGGAAUCUGCCUUUCGGUUCGGAAUAACUCAGGGAAACUUGAGCUAAUACCGGAUAACGUCGCAAGACCAAAGAUUUAUCACCGAAAGAUGAGCCCGCGUAGGAUUAGCUAGUUGGUGAGGUAAAGGCUCACCAAGGCGACGAUCCUUAGCUGGUCUGAGAGGAUGAUCAGCCACACUGGGACUGAGACACGGCCCAGACUCCUACGGGAAGCAGCAGUGGGGAAUAUUGGACAAAGGGCGAAAGCCUGAUCCAGCAAUGCCGCGUGAGUGAUGAAGGCCUUAGGGUUGUAAAGCUCUUUUACCCGGGAAGAUAAUGACGGUACCGGGAGAAUAAGCCCCGGCUAACUCCGUG
RNAcentral lists this ribosomal RNA (433 nucleotides) under uncultured bacterium. RNAcentral describes it as "partial 16S ribosomal RNA". It matches the Rfam family "Bacterial small subunit ribosomal RNA", at positions 29 to 507 of the family's 1533-position model. The record is from RNAcentral.